Molecule: long non-coding RNA, 173 nt
Organism: Triticum dicoccoides
Lineage: Eukaryota; Viridiplantae; Streptophyta; Magnoliopsida; Poales; Poaceae
Exons: 3
Source: RefSeq, a predicted model, not a curated record
GAACAGGAUCACAUAGUUUUCACUAACACAGGUAAUCUUGAAAGCAUACCUGAAGCGGUGGAAGAGGAUCACAGAGUUUUCACUAACACAGGUUCCCCAACAGAAAGCUUUGUUGCGGACGAUAAUCAGUCUGAAGAAGAAGAUGAUGAGUACUUCAUAUUUGCUGGCAGAGG